AAUCAACGCUGGCGGCAUGCCUAACACAUGCAAGUCGAGUGAGAAAGUGUAGCAAUACAUGAGUACAGCGGCGCACGGGUGAGUAACACGUGGAUAACCUGCCUCAAAGUGGGGAAUAACACCGGGAAACCGGUGCUAAUACCGCAUAUUCUGACUGAGUCUGCGGAUUUGGUCAGGAAAGGAGCAAUUCGCUAUGAGAGGGGUCCGCGGCUGAUUAGCUAGUUGGUGAGGUAAUGGCUCACCAAGGCCACGAUCAGUAGCCGGUCUGAGAGGACGGUCGGCCAAACUGGAACUGAGACGCGGUCCAGACUCCUACGGGAGGAAGCAGUGGGGAAUUUUUCGCAAUGGGGGAAACCCUGACGAAGCAAUGCCGCGUGGAUGAUGAAGUCUCUUGGGACGUAAAAUCCUUUCGACAGGGACGAAACCGCAAGGUUGACGGUACCUGUAGAAGAAGCCCCGGCUAACUCCGUGCCAGCCGCCGCGGUAA
RNAcentral lists this ribosomal RNA (487 nucleotides) under uncultured bacterium. Its description in RNAcentral is "partial 16S ribosomal RNA". It matches the Rfam family "Bacterial small subunit ribosomal RNA", at positions 32 to 523 of the family's 1533-position model. The record is from RNAcentral.